Molecule: long non-coding RNA, 300 nt
Filed under: Brassica napus (rape)
Lineage: Eukaryota; Viridiplantae; Streptophyta; Magnoliopsida; Brassicales; Brassicaceae
Description: long non-coding RNA (BNAP_LNC021809)
Source: RNAcentral
CUUUCUCUUGUCCUCACAACGAAUCUGAACUGAACUCACAGUAUACCUACAAAUCCCAUUUUCUACUUGUGAAGUGAAACCAAGUGCGCUUACCUCGUUUGUGUCAAGAAAAAAAAAAAUUAAAACCCAAAAAAAGAAAAAAGCGAAAAAGAAAAGAUCCUAACUUUGUCCUGAUCUGAAACUCUCAAAUGGUUUUAACUUUAGGAUUAGAAUGUUGAGAGGUUGAAGAAUAGAGAAGGGUACUUUGGCUUCUCCAGAGGAAUGUAGUUGGAGUUUGUGACUCUUCUCUUUUCAGUUUAG